GCUGACACAUCCCUGCCAAUCUCCGGCAGACCCUCCCUCCCAGACCCUCCCACCUCCUGGACAACAUCCAUGUUGAAGCUGCCUUCAACAUGGAUGCUGUCCAGGAAGUGGGAGGGUCUGGGAGGGAGGGUCUGCCGGAGAUUGGCAGGGAUGUGUCAG
Pelobates cultripes (western spadefoot toad) is the source of this 159-nucleotide non-coding RNA. The record is from the annotation of a GenBank genome assembly. Lineage: Eukaryota; Metazoa; Chordata; Amphibia; Anura; Pelobatidae.